UUCCGGUUGAUCCUGCCGGAGGCCAUUGCUAUCGGGGUCCGAUUUAGCCAUGCUAGUCGCACGGGUUCAGACCCGUGGCGAAAAGCUCAGUGACACGUGGCCAAACUACCCUGUGGAUCGGGACAACCUCGGGAAACUGAGGCUAAUCCCGAAUAGGGCUCACAGCCUGGAGUGGCGUGAGUCCGAAACGCUCCAGCGCCACAGGAUGUGGCUGCGGCCGAUUAGGUUGACGGUGGGGUAACGGCCCACCGUGCCCAUAAUCGGUACGGGUUGUGAGAGCAAGAGCCCGGAGACGGUAUCUGAGACAAGAUACCGGGCCCUACGGGGCGCAGCAGGCGCGAAACCUUUACACUGCGCGAGAGCGCGAUAAGGGGACCCCGAGUGCGAGGGCAUAUAGUCCUCGCUUUUCUGGACUGUAGGGAGGUCCAAGAAUAAGGGCUGGGCAAGACCGGUGCCAGCCGCCGCGGUAAUACCGGCAGCCCGAGUGAUGGCCGAUUUUA
Molecule: ribosomal RNA, 500 nt
Filed under: uncultured haloarchaeon
Lineage: Archaea; Methanobacteriati; Methanobacteriota; Halobacteria; Halobacteriales; Halobacteriaceae
Description: bacterial SSU rRNA
Rfam family: Archaeal small subunit ribosomal RNA
Source: RNAcentral